Molecule: ribosomal RNA, 916 nt
Filed under: uncultured bacterium
Lineage: Bacteria
Description: bacterial SSU rRNA
Rfam family: Bacterial small subunit ribosomal RNA
Source: RNAcentral
AGAGUUUGAUCCUGGCUCAGGAUGAACGCUAGCGAUAGGCUUAACACAUGCAAGUCGAGGGGCAGCAUAAGGUAGCAAUACUUUGAUGGCGACCGGCGGACGGGUGAGUAACGCGUAUGCGACCUGCCCUGUACCGGGGUAUAGCCCAUGGAAACGUGGAUUAAUCCCCCAUAUGGAUAUAUGUUCGCAUGGAUAUAUAUUGAAAACUGAGGUGGUACGGGAUGGGCAUGCGUCCCAUUAGGUAGUUGGUAAGGUAACGGCUUACCAAGCCUGUGAUGGGUAGGGGUUCUGAGAGGAAGGUCCCCCACACUGGAACUGAGACACGGUCCAGACUCCUACGGGAGGCAGCAGUGAGGAAUAUUGGUCAAUGGCCGAGAGGCUGAACCAGCCAAAUCGCGUGAGGGAAGACAGCCCUAUGGGUUUUAAACCUCUUUUGUUAAGGAAGAAUAAGUUUCACGUGUGGAACGAUGCCAGUACUUAACGAAUAAGCAUCGGCUAACUCCGUGCCAGCAGCCGCGGUAAUACGGAGGAUGCGAGCGUUAUCCGGAUUUAUUGGGUUUAAAGGGUGCGUAGGCGGUAUUAUAAGUUAGUGGUAAAAUGUACGGGCUUCACCUGUGCCGGCCAUUAAAACUGUAGUACUUGAGUACAAACGAGGUAGGCGGAAUAAGUUAAGUAGCGGUGAAAUGCUUAGAUAUAACUUAGAACUCCGAUAGCGAAGGCAGCUUACCAGGCUGUAACUGACGCUGAAGCACGAAAGCAUGGGUAGCGAACAGGAUUAGAUACCCUGGUAGUCCAUGCCGUAAACGAUGUUCACAGACUUUAUGCGAUAUGAUGGUAUGAGGUCAAUUGAAAGAUUUAAGUGAACCACCUGGGGAGUACGUUCGCAAGAAUGAAACUCAAAGGAAUUGACGAAGGG